GUUCAUUAGUAGUUUAUGGUAUUGUGUAUGAUACAUAUGAAUGUAAGCUGUGUAUGGGGGCUGCUUGUGGAAUUGUGUGUGUGGAUGGAUAUGUCACAUUGUGUGUUUGGUAGUGUGUGGGGGCUAUUUGAGGUAUUGCAUGUGAGAAGCUGCAUGUGUGGUUGUGUGCAUGUAUGUGGAUUGUUAGCGGGUUACGUUUGUACAAAUUGUGUGUUGUGUUUGUG
Pelobates cultripes (western spadefoot toad) is the source of this 224-nucleotide non-coding RNA. The record is from the annotation of a GenBank genome assembly. Lineage: Eukaryota; Metazoa; Chordata; Amphibia; Anura; Pelobatidae.